RNAcentral lists this ribosomal RNA (493 nucleotides) under uncultured bacterium. RNAcentral describes it as "partial 16S ribosomal RNA". It matches the Rfam family "Bacterial small subunit ribosomal RNA", at positions 28 to 506 of the family's 1533-position model. The record is from RNAcentral.
GACGAACGCUGGCGGCGUGCUUAACACAUGCAAGUCGAACGGUGAAGCGCCUUCCUUUUUGGUGGGUGUGGAUGAGUGGCGAACGGGUGAGUAACACGUGAGUAACCUGCCCCCUUCUUCUGGAUAACCGCAUGAAAGUGUGGCUAAUACGGGAUAUUCUGGGUCUGUCGCAUGAUGGGUCUGGGAAAGAUAUUGUUUCGGUGGGGGAUGGGCUCGCGGCCUAUCAGCUUGUUGGUGGGGUGAUGGCCUACCAAGGCGGUGACGGGUAGCCGGCCUGAGAGGGUGGACGGUCACACUGGGACUGAGACACGGCCCAGACUGCGACGGGAGGCAGCAGUGGGGAAUAUUGCACAAUGGGCGCAAGCCUGAUGCAGCGACGCCGCGUGAGGGAUGGAGGCCUUCGGGUUGUGAACCUCUUUCGCCAGUGAAGCAGGCCUGCCUCGUUUGUGGGUGGGUUGACGGUAGCUGGAUAAGAAACGCCGGCUAACUACGU